Long non-coding RNA from Gorilla gorilla gorilla (western lowland gorilla), 3775 nucleotides. RefSeq lists it as uncharacterized. The transcript is spliced from 4 exons. Lineage: Eukaryota; Metazoa; Chordata; Mammalia; Primates; Hominidae. The record is from RefSeq and is a predicted model, not a curated record.
CACAAAGUCCCUUGCACCAGCAGCGUGCGUCAGCAAGAGAGCGGAAGCAGGAACAGUUGGCGGGAAGACACAUACCCCCUGAAGAUCCAGAGGGAGGCCAUCUGGGUAUAGCAGCUGGGCAAAAGAAGCUCCUCAGCCUCCAGUCGCCUGUCUGUGCAUGCCCCUUGGUCACUGAUCUCACCUACCAGUGAGAUUAUCUGAACAAAUCACCACCUUCAUCUUGAGAAUGUAUCUUCAAAGGCAUUAGGAUAGACCCUCUGAAGGAAAUAGACUGCUCCUGCAGGACCCGGGAGACACCCUAAAUACUCACUCAAAGUAUGUGGAAGACGAAACAGUCAAAAGAAAAAUUUAAAGUCAUUGAAAUUGAAGACCAGUGCCCUCCCCUGCUACGGACAUCAGCAAUUUCUGCUACAGUAAUACAAAUAUUGGCCACACUGUCCUGUCCUUACCAAAUCCAAAUAGAACAGGUUCCUGGACCACCCUUCAGUGCAAAGGUGGAACUUAACUCUCAUGAAUGUAUCUUAAACUUCUCAUACUUGAUUCUGGCACCUUAGAGUCACAGGAGACACUUAAUUAAAACAAAUAGAUGCUAUCUUCAGAACAUUAAACAGAAACUGUGAAAAGGGCACAAGAGAGUUCUGUGAAUUGGCCAUGUGCUUCUAAUUAGAAGCCUGAGCUUAUAACCACUUACCUAAGCAUUGCCGCUCAAGCUUUAAUUAGCUUAUAAAUCACUUGGUAAACUUGGCCCCACUCUAUGUAAUGUGAUUCUGCAGGUUUGGAAAUGGUCCAUAAAUGGGUGUUCUAAACAAGUCCCCUGUCAGUGCUGAUGUCACUCUCUCUGGUCUCAUUAUUAGCAUUUGUUAGAAAAAUGAGGCACAGCACAGAGUCCCUUACACUCAGCACUCCUGUCACAACACAAAUACUUCUGAUACAAAUGAAGACAACCAUUCUCUAUCUUAAAGUAUACUACUUGCUGGCUCUUUAAAGUUCACAAAGAAAACAGAAAACAGCAAUUUCUGAGUAAGUCUGCAUUUGGAAAACAACAUGUGCAUAUGUACUAAUGCAAUGUUUAUUAAGCAGGUACUAUGUAAUCAACAGGAUGUUACAGAGCACUGUGACAAUUCAUUAUUUGAUUUAAUUCUAAUAACACCCUGUGAGUUGAUACUAAGUGUUGAAUAAUCCCAAGGAUUUAGAAUAAGGAUCCAGCAUUUUUAUUUCUUCUUCUGUUUUUCUGUCACUAAUUUUUUUUUAAAAAAUGCAUAGAAUAAAAUCUAAAUAUAGACAGAUGAGAGGGAUACAGAUAGAGUGUAAUGUAAUUUAGAUGAAUUAUUAUGUUUAUAUUUACUAUUUUGUGACUUGUGAAUCAACUACUGUAUCUGCAGGAACAGAAAACAAGUUGCUAAAUGGAAUGUCUCUGUAAACACUGGUUUUAAUAUAAAAUUAUUAAAUUAAGACCCUAUAAUACAUGUUAUUUUUCCAUUUAUCUGCUAUUGGGUUUCAGAAAAUUGUGAGCACCAACUCUAAAAAGGCAACAAGAUUCAUCACCCAAAACUCUGAUCUCUUCUAGUUAGUUCUGCGAGGCAAAACUCCAGGGUAGGGCAAGACUUAAAUAAGGCCUUCAAAAAGGGUGAAUCUAAACAGGGCUGAAGCAGGGUGUAGAGUUGAUGUAAAAUUCUGUUCUUUAUGCCACUGGGGAGUAUUUUCAGUUCCGUUUCUUUUUUUAAACUUAGCUAAAAAACAAAAACAAAAACAGAAACUUAAAUCUCAGAGUUUGUGUAAUUUUAAUCUUUUUUAGCCCCACUGCCCUUUCAAUUUUAUAUCACAUACUAAUAAGCAAUUUAAACAAAUCCCUUAAGGUUUUCUAGAAUAAUUUUUUAGAUGAUAAAUAAGUAUUCUUAGCAGGGCAUAAAAAAUACAAAUAAUAACUUUUUUGUUUAUUAAUAUAUGUUCAAGUGUAGACAUCACAAGUCACAAAAAUAUAAAGAAAAUGGCCCAAAUAAAGCCCAUAUUUUUGCACACAUCUAUUUAUUGUACCCAACCUUUUGAUGCAUAAUUAAACCACUUAUCCAGUUGCUAGUCUAGACUAAAAGUUCUUGCAUGGUAGGGACCAUGACUGCUUCAUCUAUUUUUCUAAUGACUAUAUGAAUUGGAAGCAAUUAGUUUAUUUGUUUGAGUCUCCAGACCUCCUCAUCAUUUUUCACUCAAGUACCAGGGAACUAGAGAAACUCUCACCUGGGUACCAACCAAAGACAUCUCUUGUAUGAGGGGAGGAGCAAACACAGGAUGACUCAUUUCUUUUACACUAAGAUAGAAGCAAAAUUAACCACUCUAGUCAGCCUGACACAAUUCUGUUCUGGAGAUUCUCAAAUGUCUCAAAGAUACCUAGGUGACUGUGAGAGCAUUUCCAGUGACCCUGGGCUGAUGGUCCAAUAAUAAGCCAGCAAGAGAGACUCAGGCUGAUUCUAAAUAGAAAAUGAAACUACCAAAUAGGCAGAGACACAAUUCUGCCUGCAUAUUUAGGUGACAGCACACAUUUUACAGCAUAACUGCGAGUUGACUGGAAGCCUGAGAGGGAAAGUCCCCUCUAGAGUAGAGCUUGGUUGGCACCUUAUGUGUUUAUAUUAUGUCUGGUAAUUCUACACAGUGUUUGGGAAAUAUAAUUUUUAUUAAUUCUCUUCAGCACCAGAGAAACCACAGUAAUAGAACAGAAAGAAAACUGUCUCAUUACACAAUUAAGUCUGAAUGUCACAUGCAUUACAAUCCAUCUGCUUAAGAGAUUGAAAAGAAAUAAAGACGGUUACCGUAAUUAGUUCACAAGUAGAAGAAUUUACAGCGCCAUGUCAUAGGUAGUUCAUCCUAAAUUCACCUGGUCAUUGGGGAGGUCAUCCAUGUAUGCUAAUUGGUUAUAUUCAAUGACAAAAUAAGCUUUUCACAUCUUCAUGGCAGAAGGUAGUUUUGCAACUUGAAGCCAGGUGCCUGCUUAAGGUAGACUUUCACUCUUCUACAAAAGUGGUUGAAUAGGGUGCUAUCUUUUUGGCUACUUGCAUUUUAAAGCACUGGCUCUCUACUCCCUGAGGACUUGACUAGUGCACUCCUGCUUCCCCUCUCCUGGUGGCCAGUGUCCUCUUUUGUUUCCUACUAUCUGCCACUGUGGUACAGCCCACAGCACAGGGCUCACAGCUGGCAGCUCACAUCUUAGAUGAACGACAAUUGCCACAGCAGCACUUUAGUGUCACAUCAAAGAGUGAAGUCUGGCCGGGUGCGGUGGCUCAUGCCUGUAAUCCCAGCACUUUAGGAGGCUGAGGUGGGCAGAUCAUGAGGUCAGGAGUUCAAGAGCAGCCUGGUCAACAUGGUGAAGCCCCAUCUCCACUAAAAAUAAAAAUAAAAAAUUUGCUGGGCAUGGUGGUGGGCACCUGUAAUCCAAGCACUCAGGAGGCUGAGGAAGGAGAAUCCCUUGAGCCCAGAAGGCGGAGGUUGCAGCGAGCUGAGAUCGCGAGAUUGCACCAUUGCACUCUGACCUGGGCAAGGGGGGAAAAUCCGUCUCAAAAAAAAAAAAAAAAAAAAAGAGUGAAGCCUGAGCUGCAGAAGGAGAGCUUGCAGGCCUCCCGGGUAGAAUUGCACCUUCACAAUAAUGGGAAUGCGAGCAUUAUCUAAGCCACAGUUUCUAUUUAUAAUGGUGACAUGGAAAAUAUACUGCUGGGUUUCCAGCAUGCAUCCAGAUAGAGAUAGCUCUAAGAGUUCUCACUGUGACAGCCCACGUCUUUCACAGACAUUA